AGGGAUGUUUAAAUUGCCUGAGCCAAACCCGCGAUCUCUCUCGGCUCUCGACGCCAUUGUUCUUUUGGGCUCCUUGGUUGCUGCCUCGGUUUACAUGAGCGGCCGCGGACGCAGUGCCACAUGAGGUGGUAUCGGACCCUUGUCGCUCCACUGAAGAAGCUAUGGCUGCGUCUGCAUUCAGCUACGAAGAAGAGAAGAAGAGGGAUCUACAUUCUGUACGACGACGUUAAAUCAUGCCCGUAUGAGGAUGUUCACGUCCUCUGGUCCAUCCUUGUAGAAUCACAUCCCGCACUACCAUCGGAACACUGAAGAAGACAGCAGCUCUGGGAGUUGCUCAAGAGAUCAAUGACAUCAUGCACAUACAAUAUUUAUAAUGUCUUAUUCUUGUGUGAAGCAUUGCACAAUUACAAUAUUUAUAAUGUCUUAAUCUUGUGUGAAGCAUUGCACAAUUUGUUUU
Molecule: long non-coding RNA, 457 nt
Organism: Eucalyptus grandis
Lineage: Eukaryota; Viridiplantae; Streptophyta; Magnoliopsida; Myrtales; Myrtaceae
Exons: 2
Source: RefSeq, a predicted model, not a curated record